This 71-nucleotide transfer RNA is filed under the name Ornithorhynchus anatinus (platypus). It matches the Rfam family "tRNA". Rfam says of the family: Transfer RNA (tRNA) molecules are approximately 80 nucleotides in length. Their secondary structure includes four short double-helical elements and three loops (D, anti-codon, and T loops). The record is from Rfam by way of RNAcentral. Lineage: Eukaryota; Metazoa; Chordata; Mammalia; Monotremata; Ornithorhynchidae.
GGCAGAGUGGCUCAGUGGAAAGAGGACGGACUUUGGAGUCAGAGAUCAUGGGUUCGAAUCCCGCUCUGCCA